AUAAAAUUAAGUUAUACCUAGACUGUAUGUUUUCAAAACAUAAUGAGGGUGCUUAUCCAUUUUAUG
RNAcentral lists this transfer RNA (66 nucleotides) under Rhinebothrium fulbrighti. RNAcentral's name for it is "tRNA-Trp". The record is from RNAcentral. Lineage: Eukaryota; Metazoa; Platyhelminthes; Cestoda; Rhinebothriidea; Rhinebothriidae.